Oenococcus oeni is the source of this 172-nucleotide regulatory RNA element. It matches the Rfam family "Lysine riboswitch aptamer". Rfam says of the family: Riboswitches are metabolite binding domains within certain messenger RNAs that serve as precision sensors for their corresponding targets. Allosteric rearrangement of mRNA structure is mediated by ligand binding, and this results in modulation of gene expression. The record is from Rfam. Lineage: Bacteria; Bacillati; Bacillota; Bacilli; Lactobacillales; Lactobacillaceae.
AUCCGUAAUAGAGGUGCAAAUGACAUCAUUAGUUUAUUAGAUAGUCCCUGCUAGGAUCUAAUAAAUGAAAGGGGAUUUUGCCGAAAUCGAUUGUAUGAGCAGAUACUUAUCGAUUGAGUCGUGGUUUAAUAAAUCACGGAUUGUCACAGAGAUGUGGAGUGCUAGGACGGAC